ACCUCAAAUCAGGUAAAGAAUACCCGCUGAACUUAAGCAUAUCAAUAAGCGGAGGAAAAGAAAAUAACAAUGAUUCCCUCAGUAACGGCGAGCGAAGAGGGAUAAGCUCAAAUUUUAAAUCUGUUGGGUUCCACUUAACAGAGUUGUAUUUUGAAGAAACGUUUUCUGCAUCCAGGAUUAGCCUAAAUCCUUUGGGAUAAGGUAUCAUGGAGGGUGAGAAUCCCGUUCAUGGUUAAUCUUAAGGAAGCUCUACGAUACGUUUUCCAAGAGUCGAGUUGUUUGGGAUUGCAGCUCAAAAUGGGAGGUAAAUUUCUCCUAAGGCUAAAUAUUGGCGAGAGACCGAUAGCGAACAAGUACCGUGAGGGAAAGAUGAAAAGAACUUUGAAAAGAGAGUUAAACAGUACGUGAAAUUGUUGAAAGGGAAACGAUUGAAGUCAGUCAUACCAACGGGAAAUCAACCUUUUGAGCUCGGUCUCGUGGGUUUUGAAGAGUUUCAAAGCCUUCGGAUUCGCGGGAUUGGGAUCUCUUGGUGUACUUUUUCGUACGGUUAGUCAACAUCGGUUUUGGAUGUCAUAAAAUGACUGGAGGAAUGUAGCUUCGAUCUCGUAUUGAAGUGUUAUAGCCUUUGGUAGAUGUGAUGUUUGAGACCGAGGAUUGCAACGGAUACCCUUCAGGGCUAUUCGUCUGAUCUCUGAUACGUUGCCUUGAUGUUGAAAGCUUGCUUAUGAUGUUAGGGUAUUACGGUCAAAAGGUUAGAACGGAUUAGAUUCGUUAAGGAUGUUGACGUAAUGACUUUAAACGACCCGUCUUGAAACACGGACCAAGGAGUCUAACAUAUAUGCGAGUGUUC
RNAcentral lists this ribosomal RNA (850 nucleotides) under Funneliformis mosseae. Its description in RNAcentral is "eukaryotic LSU rRNA". It matches the Rfam family "Eukaryotic large subunit ribosomal RNA", at positions 1 to 695 of the family's 3401-position model. Lineage: Eukaryota; Fungi; Glomeromycota; Glomeromycetes; Glomerales; Glomeraceae. The record is from RNAcentral.